GGUGGCUCAGUGGUAGAGCACUUGCCUCGCAUGCAUGAGGCUUUGGGUUCAAUUCCUCAGCACCA
RNAcentral lists this transfer RNA (65 nucleotides) under Dipodomys ordii (Ord's kangaroo rat). It matches the Rfam family "tRNA". From Rfam's summary of the family: Transfer RNA (tRNA) molecules are approximately 80 nucleotides in length. Their secondary structure includes four short double-helical elements and three loops (D, anti-codon, and T loops). The record is from Rfam by way of RNAcentral. Lineage: Eukaryota; Metazoa; Chordata; Mammalia; Rodentia; Heteromyidae.